RNAcentral lists this non-coding RNA (163 nucleotides) under Loxodonta africana (African savanna elephant). Its description in RNAcentral is "Eukaryotic large subunit ribosomal RNA". It matches the Rfam family "Eukaryotic large subunit ribosomal RNA", at positions 2825 to 2984 of the family's 3401-position model. Lineage: Eukaryota; Metazoa; Chordata; Mammalia; Proboscidea; Elephantidae. The record is from Rfam by way of RNAcentral.
GAUAACUGGCUUGUGGCAGCCAAGCGUUCACUGCGACGUUGUCGCUUUUUUAUCCUUCGAUGUCGGCUCUUCCUAUCAACGUGAAACAUAAUUCACUAAGCACUGGAUUGUUCGCCCGCUAACAGGGAACGUGAGCUGGGAUUCGACGGUCGUGAGAUAGGAU